CCUUGGGAAUGUAUCUCCUUUCGGGGUAGAGUUAUAGCCCCAGGGUGCAAUGCAGCCCGCCUGGAUCGAGGAACGCGCUUCGGCUAGGAUGCUGGCGUAAUGGUUGUAAGCGGCCCGUCUUGAAACACGGACCAAGGAGUCUAACAUCUAUGCGAGUGUUUGGGUGUCAAACCCAUGCGCGUAAUGAAAGUGAACGGAGGUGGGAACCCUUAAGGGUGCACCAUCGACCGAUCCUGAUGUCUUCGGAUGGAUUUGAGUAAGAGCAUAGCUGUUGGGACCCGAAAGAUGGUGAACUAUGCCUGAAUAGGGUGAAGCCAGAGGAAACUCUGGUGGAGGCUCGCAGCGGUUCUGACGUGCAAAUCGAUCGUCAAAUUUGGGUAUAGGG
This 385-nucleotide ribosomal RNA is filed under the name Loxospora ochrophaea. RNAcentral describes it as "eukaryotic LSU rRNA". It matches the Rfam family "Eukaryotic large subunit ribosomal RNA", at positions 535 to 922 of the family's 3401-position model. The record is from RNAcentral. Lineage: Eukaryota; Fungi; Ascomycota; Lecanoromycetes; Sarrameanales; Sarrameanaceae.